GCCGGAGUGGCGGAAUUGGCAGACGCAAGAGACUUAAAAUCUCUCGGACACCUUGUGUCCGUAUCGGUUCGAGUCCGAUCUCCGGCACCA
RNAcentral lists this transfer RNA (90 nucleotides) under Bacillota bacterium. RNAcentral's name for it is "tRNA-Leu". It matches the Rfam family "tRNA". Rfam says of the family: Transfer RNA (tRNA) molecules are approximately 80 nucleotides in length. Lineage: Bacteria; Bacillati; Bacillota. RNAcentral also lists the same sequence under 1 other name. The record is from RNAcentral.